RNAcentral lists this ribosomal RNA (449 nucleotides) under uncultured bacterium. RNAcentral describes it as "partial 16S ribosomal RNA". It matches the Rfam family "Bacterial small subunit ribosomal RNA", at positions 354 to 796 of the family's 1533-position model. The record is from RNAcentral.
GUCGAGAAUCUUUCACAAUGGGGGCAACCCUGAUGGAGCGACGCCGCGUGGAGGAUAAGGUCUUCGGAUUGUAAACUCCUGUCAUGCGUGAACAAGGUUGCUUGGUUAAUACCUGGGCAAAUUGAUGGUAACGCAAGAGGAAGAGACGGCUAACUCUGUGCCAGCAGCCGCGGUAAUACAGAGGUCUCAAGCGUUGUUCGGAAUCACUGGGCGUAAAGGGUGCGUAGGUGGCGUGGUAAGUCAGAUGUGAAAGCCCGGGGCUCAACCUCGGAACUGCAGCCGAUACUGCCAUGCUAGAGUACUGGAGGGGUGACUAGAAUUCUCGGUGUAGCAGUGAAAUGCGUAGAUAUCGAGAGGAAUACCAAAGGCGUAGGCAGGUCACUGGACAGUUACUGACACUGAGGCACGAAGGCCAGGGGAGCGAACGGGAUUAGAUACCCGAGUAGUCC